Molecule: ribosomal RNA, 455 nt
Filed under: uncultured organism
Description: bacterial SSU rRNA
Rfam family: Bacterial small subunit ribosomal RNA
Source: RNAcentral
GCGCAGCAGUCGCGAAUUUUUCUCAAUGGGGGAAACCCUGAAGGAGCGACGCCGCGUGGAGGAUGAAGGCUUUCGGGUUGUAAACUCCUGUCAUUUGAGAACAAGUGCCAACAAGUAACUACUGUUGGCUUGAUAGUAUCAGAAGAGGAAGGGACGGCUAACUCUGUGCCAGCAGCCGCGGUAAUACAGAGGUCCCAAGCGUUGUUCGGAUUCAUUGGGCGUAAAGGGUGCGUAGGUGGCGUGGUAAGUCGGGUGUGAAAUUUCGGAGCUUAACUCCGAAACUGCAUUCGAUACUGCCGUGCUUGAGGACUGGAGAGGAGACUGGAAUUUACGGUGUAGCAGUGAAAUGCGUAGAGAUCGUAAGGAAGACCAGUGGCGAAGGCGGGUCUCUGGACAGUUCCUGACACUGAGGCACGAAGGCUAGGGGAGCAAACGGGAUUAGAUACCCCCGUAGU